This 530-nucleotide ribosomal RNA is filed under the name uncultured bacterium. Its description in RNAcentral is "bacterial SSU rRNA". It matches the Rfam family "Archaeal small subunit ribosomal RNA", at positions 723 to 1262 of the family's 1478-position model. The record is from RNAcentral.
ACGGAAUAGAUACCCAGGUAGUCCCAGCUGUAAACGAUGCAGGCUAGGUGUUUGGACGGCCACGUGCCGUUCUAGUGCCGCAGGGAAGCUGUUAAGCCUGCCGCCUGGGGAGUACGAUCGCAAGAUUGAAACUUAAAGGAAUUGGCGGGGGAGCACCACAAGGGGUGAAGCUUGCGGUUUAAUUGGAGUCAACGCCGGAAAUCUCACCGGGAGCGGCAGCAGUGUGAAGGCCAGAUUAAAGGUCUUGCCAGACGAGCUGAGAGGAGGUGCAUGGCCGUCGCCAGUUCGUGCCGUGAGGUGUCCUGUUAAGUCAGGCAACGAUCGAGACCCGCAUCCUCUGUUGCAACCAGUUUUGCGCUGGGCACACUGAGGAGACCGCCACUGAUAAAGUGGAGGAAGGAGCGGGCCACGGCAGGUCAGUAUGCCCCGAAUCUCCGGGCCACACGCGAGCUGCAAUGGCAGGUACAAUGGUUCCGACCUCGAAAGGGGAAGGCAAUCUCGAAAACCUGCCGUAGUUGGGAUUGAGGGUU